RNAcentral lists this ribosomal RNA (253 nucleotides) under uncultured bacterium. RNAcentral's name for it is "partial 16S ribosomal RNA". It matches the Rfam family "Bacterial small subunit ribosomal RNA", at positions 524 to 776 of the family's 1533-position model. The record is from RNAcentral.
UACGUAGGGGGCAAGCGUUGUCCGGAAUCAUUGGGCGUAAAGGGCGCGUAGGCGGCUUGGCAAGUGGAAGGUGAAAUCCCUCGGCUUAACCGAGGAACUGCCCUCCAAACUGCUUCGCUUGAGACCGGGAGAGGUGAGUGGAAUUCCCAGUGUAGCGGUGAAAUGCGUAGAUAUUGGGAGGAACACCAGUGGCGAAGGCGGCUCACUGGACCGGUACUGACGCUGAUGCGCGAAAGCGUGGGGAGCAAACGGG